RNAcentral lists this ribosomal RNA (373 nucleotides) under uncultured bacterium. RNAcentral's name for it is "bacterial SSU rRNA". It matches the Rfam family "Bacterial small subunit ribosomal RNA", at positions 28 to 403 of the family's 1533-position model. The record is from RNAcentral.
GACGAACGCUGGCGGCGUGCUUAACACAUGCAAGUCGAGCGGUAAGGCCCUUUCGGGGGUACACGAGCGGCGAACGGGUGAGUAACACGUGGGUGACCUGCCCUUAGCUCUGGGAUAAGCCUGGGAAACUGGGUCUAAUACCGGAUAUGACUCCAUGACGCAUGUUGUGGGGUGGAAAGCCUUGUGCGGCUAGGGAUGGGCCCGCGGCCUAUCAGCUUGUUGGUGGGGUGAUGGCCACCAAGGCGACGACGGGUAGCCGGCCUGAGAGGGCGACCGGCCACACUGGGACUGAGACACGGCCCAGACUCCUACGGGAGGCAGCAGUGGGGAAUCUUGCGCAAUGGGCGAAAGCCUGACGCAGCGACGCCGCGUG